GUGCCAGCAGCCGCGGUAAUACAGAGGUCUCAAGCGUUGUUCGGAUUCAUUGGGCGUAAAGGGUGCGUAGGCGGGUUCGAAAGUCUGUGGUGAAAUCCUCCAGCUUAACUGGAGAAGUGCCAUGGAUACUGCGAACCUCGAGGAGGGUAGGGGCAUCUGGAACGGUCGGUGGAGCGGUGAAAUGCGUUGAUAUCGACCGGAACUCCGGUGGCGAAGGCGAGGUGCUGGACCCUUUCUGACGCUGAGGCGCGAAAGCCAGGGGAGCGAACGGGAUUAGAAACCCGGGUAGUCC
This 292-nucleotide ribosomal RNA is filed under the name uncultured bacterium. Its description in RNAcentral is "partial 16S ribosomal RNA". It matches the Rfam family "Bacterial small subunit ribosomal RNA", at positions 505 to 796 of the family's 1533-position model. The record is from RNAcentral.